GCUGCAUAUCCUUAGAGCUUAGAACUGAGGCUACUGGCUAGCUGAUGAACCCACAAAUAUAGGUAGUGUGCUACAUGAGGGACAGGUCUUUCAUUAACACCACAAGUUUCUCUGGCCCAAUGAAGGGAGUUUGAUAGUAAUUCUUGCUAAAAAU
This is a small nucleolar RNA of Mustela putorius furo (domestic ferret), 154 nucleotides long. NCBI's taxonomy places the organism in Eukaryota, Metazoa, Chordata, Mammalia, Carnivora, Mustelidae. The record is from Ensembl.